Molecule: ribosomal RNA, 313 nt
Filed under: Newportia divergens
Lineage: Eukaryota; Metazoa; Arthropoda; Chilopoda; Scolopendromorpha; Scolopocryptopidae
Description: partial 12S ribosomal RNA
Source: RNAcentral
AAGUCUUUAACUAAAAAAACUUGGCGGUAGAUUAGUCUGUUUAGAGGAAUCUGUACAAUGAAUGAUGUUACCCAAGAAUCUUACUUAAAUGAAAGCUUGUAUACCGCCGUAUUAAGAAUAACCAAUGAAGAAGGUUUUUUCGAAAACAAGAGUCUGAAAAAUUCAGGUCAAGGUGCAGUUAAUAUUUAAGAGUGAUAUGGAUUACAAUAAGAGUACUUAAGAUGAAUUGAUUUGCUGAAAAGGUAAAAGUGAAGGUGGAUUUAUAUGUAAAUUUUUAAUAAAAUGGAAAGUUGAAUAAGAAAUUGAUUUAUGC